This is a long non-coding RNA of Peromyscus leucopus (white-footed mouse), 644 nucleotides long. RefSeq lists it as uncharacterized. Lineage: Eukaryota; Metazoa; Chordata; Mammalia; Rodentia; Cricetidae. The record is from RefSeq and is a predicted model, not a curated record. The transcript has 3 exons.
GUGGUACAGAAUAAAUUGAUUGUUAACAAUCCCAUCAAUACUUCUUUCAUCCUGAUUUCAAUAUGUCUGGAUUAUUACCUAUGAAGCUGUUAUCUAACAGAGUAUAUUGACCUGGACUGUCAAGAUUGGAAUAGUUUUCAAGCACUAUGGGUUAUGCCACUUCAGCUGGUAUUGGGUCCAGAAAUUUACCAUGACUUGUACAUGACACAAUGACUAGACUGUAAAUUCUCUGACCUAAUCAAUGGAUUACCCUCUUAACUGAUCGCACUAAUGGAAGAUGCUGGAAAAUAGGAGGUGGAAAUCCAAUGGAAGGAAAGUUACCAGAGGCAUGCUCUAGAAGGACUUCUCUUGUCCUUGGUUCCUUCUUGUCUUAUAACUUCUGCUCUCCAGCUGCCAUGAGAUGAGCACGUCUUUUCCUCCACAUCCUCUGCCAUGACGCUCCACCUCAUCUCACACUUAAAAGCAACAAAUAGUGAUGUGUGGACUGACACUCCCAAAGUCCUAUGCUGAGGGGUGACUUCAUAGAGGCCUAGCGUGACAAACUGUGGCUCCAAGAACAGCAUGGACAAUAACCAUUAGUUUUGGUUGCAGAGAACAGAAUGGCAAAUGGCCCUGAGGUAACUGGUGUUUCUGUAUCUUUAGGU